AGUGAACGCUGGCGGUAGGCCUAACACAUGCAAGUCGAACGGCAGCACAGGAGAGCUUGCUCUCUGGGUGGCGAGUGGCGGACGGGUGAGGAAUACAUCGGAAUCUACUCUGUCGUGGGGGAUAACGUAGGGAAACUUACGCUAAUACCGCAUACGACCUACGGGUGAAAGCAGGGGACCUUCGGGCCUUGCGCGAUUGAAUGAGCCGAUGUCGGAUUAGCUAGUUGGCGGGGUAAAGGCCCACCAAGGCGACGAUCCGUAGCUGGUCUGAGAGGAUGAUCAGCCACACUGGAACCGGGCCACGGUCCAGACUCCUACGGGAGGCAGCAGGGGGGAAUAUUGGACAAUGGGCGCAAGCCUGAUCCAGCCAUACCGCGUGGGUGAAGAAGGCCUUCGGGUUGUAAAGCCCUUUUGUUGGGAAAGAAAUCCAGCUGGCUAAUACCCGGUUGGGAUGACGGUACCCAAAGAAUAAGCACCGGCUAACUUCGUGCCAGCAGCCGCCGUAA
RNAcentral lists this ribosomal RNA (506 nucleotides) under uncultured bacterium. Its description in RNAcentral is "partial 16S ribosomal RNA". It matches the Rfam family "Bacterial small subunit ribosomal RNA", at positions 29 to 523 of the family's 1533-position model. The record is from RNAcentral.